AUACUUACCUGGUAUGGGAGAGACCAUGACCACGAAGGUGGUUUUUCCAGGGCGAGGCUCACCCAUUGCACUCCGGGUGUGCUGGCCCCUGUGAUUUCCCCAAAUGUGGGAGAUUCAACUGCAUAAUUUGUGUUAGUUGGGGACCGCGUUCGCGCUCUCCCCUA
Molecule: small nuclear RNA, 164 nt
Filed under: Echinops telfairi (small Madagascar hedgehog)
Lineage: Eukaryota; Metazoa; Chordata; Mammalia; Afrosoricida; Tenrecidae
Description: U1 spliceosomal RNA (ENSETEG00000021892.1)
Rfam family: U1 spliceosomal RNA
About the family: U1 is a small nuclear RNA (snRNA) component of the spliceosome (involved in pre-mRNA splicing). Its 5' end forms complementary base pairs with the 5' splice junction, thus defining the 5' donor site of an intron.
Source: RNAcentral